Aegilops tauschii subsp. strangulata is the source of this 8565-nucleotide non-coding RNA. The record is from RefSeq and is a predicted model, not a curated record. Lineage: Eukaryota; Viridiplantae; Streptophyta; Magnoliopsida; Poales; Poaceae.
UCAUCGGUUCCACUCACGCCAAGAGAACGAAACGCAUGCCGUGGUUGGGGAAGAAGUUCGUCUUCCAAGUGCAUCGUUCUUCUUCUCUCAUUGCCUCUAUCAUACUCCCCUGCAGCAUAAGCCUUCGAGAGCUGCCGGAUUUCUGUGUUGCUGCCAACCUGAAUCCCUAUUUUGCCACCGUCGUCGGCUCUGCUGGCCCAAAUCCCGCGCCCAGGCGUCGACCCGGACACCCGUUGAACCAGAUGUGCUGCCGCCGGGCGCCGGCGUCCUCCUUCAAUGUCACGUGGAUAAGAGGACCAGAGGAUCAGAGUAGUCCAGUUCAUUUUCAGGUGCGUUGUUUUUUUCUGGCAGUAUUAUAACAUGCCAUGCUCCAACCACGAGUUCCUACAUCCCAGACCUUAAAAAUCUUCUGAACAUGUAUGUGUGCGGCAUAACUGCAGAUCUUCAUAACACCUUAAUUCAAGUCUGUAAGGCUAAUCGAGCCCAUAAUAGUAGAAUGUGGACAUCAAUUUUAAGCAGAUUGGAUUGUCGUCGUCCUUGAUGCAGCCACCCAUUGGAGGCACUGCAGUUGACUGGUGACGCAAUACUUUGCAAUCCUGGACACUGUUCGAGUUUGUUGCCAGCCGAACUCAGGCAGGUAAUCCCAAACAUUAACUAACAUUUUUUUUAGAAAAGGAGGAUGACCCCAGCCUCUGCAUCUGGGCGAUGCUUACGGCCACUUUAUUAAUUAUUCUCACAAGACCUUACAAAGUAAUACAACAGUAAGACUAAAGCCGCCGUCUAAUCAUCUCUAUCCAGCUGAUGAAGGGGCGCAGAUAGCCUGGGCCUAAUACCAAACAGACAUCGCUGCCAAACCUAACAUCUAAGACCUGAGAACCCAUCCAGGACGCCUGCCGGGCAUGGGUCUCACCGGUCCGGCGUGCACUCAGAUGCCGCCGCCGCCAACUGCCACCGCUCCAUCUUCAGAACUGUCCUGAUGCAUCAACCUUGCUCGGUCUAGCUAACGUCGACGCCACCACGGCGCCAAACGGCACCUCCUCCCUGCGCGCAAACAGCUGAGCACGUCGCGGUCGCCACUGAUACACCUCAGCGCCAUGCUGCCAGGUAUCACCAGCCGACACAGCUUGAAGUCCUUGGAAGAUCUGUCGUGCGUAGCACCUGCCGACCAGGCAUGACAAGGCGUAGCACCUGUCGGUCAGGCAUGACUUGACAUCACCACCGAAGCUCCGUGCAAGACGAAGCCGCUCCACCUCCUGCCUCUGACUCCAGCGCUGCUCCGCAAACGAUGCUCUCAAGAGAGAAACGACACCGCAGUGCCGCCAUCGUCCGAUCUGGAACACCAGAUCCUAGGGUUUCCCCCGGAGCAGCACGAGUGGGUCGACAAUAGUUACACGACGAUGCCUUCAUCAAGGUAACGGCGAGAACGCCGCCAUCGCCUGCCGUCAGCUCGGUUUUCACCGGCAACCAUGUCUCCCCUACUCGCAGCCGGGACAAGAUGAUGGAUCUCGAGAUCCGAUCACCAAGCCUCUGGCCGGCCAUCUCGGGAAGAAGAUGACCACCACGUCCACCAGUGUCACCACGCCGGGAACGCGUCGCCGCCGGCACCCCCAUGGUGCCUAGAGGCCGACAAGCCCCGACGAUUCCCCUUGCCAGCCGCCAUGGCCCAGACCCCGACACCACCAGAUCUAGAUCGGAUCGGGGUCCAGGGCCCCAAGCCGCAACCGCCGCGGAGGCAGCACCACUGGACGGACCCGAGCCCUCCAGCCCGCCGCCGAGUCAUCGCCGGAGCUUCGCCGCGCCACGCCGCCAAGCCGCCGCCGGGAUAACUCGUGCCGCCACUAGAGAAGCCGCAGCCGCCGCGCGUUGGAGAGGCCUCAAGCCGCAGCAGCCCUGCCGCCAGGCAGGGGCACCGCCACCCAGCACGCCCUCCGCCGCGCCGCUGGGCCCCGCCCAGCCCAGCGCCGUCCCGCGCCGCGCUGUCCCGCGCCGGACGCCAACCGCGAGGAGAGGGGCAAGAUCCCCGCCGCCACCAACGCCGGCCGGUCUUUGCCCGGCGGCGCUGUGCGGUGGCGGCGGGGGGAGAAGUCGACGAGGGAGGACGAGGGGCGGCGGCUAGGGUUUCCCCCGAGGACGCUCGCGGGAGCGGCUCGGGGGGUCGGGGGGUCGGGGGGAUGGGUGGAAUUCAAACAUUAACUAACAUGCUUUGUUCUUUUCUCUACUAUGCCUUCUGUGUAGCGUUUGAGGUCCUUCUCUUAUCAUAAGCAGAGGUGAUGUGUUCUCUUUUAAUCUUCUACGUUCUGUUAGCAUCAGGAUACAUAUAUUCUUUAUAUUUUAAUGUCAUUCUAUUUUCACGUAUUUUUUUUAAUUCUCAUUCCCUUUUCAGUUACUAUCGGGACAUUUCCUGCCAAUAUUGCAUUGCAGUUUCAAGUUGAGAUAGAGGGCUAACUCUCUGUCCACUGAACUGUUAGAUUGCCUCACUAUUUUAUUUCCUUUUGAAACUUACCUUUCUUGCAAAUUGCUCUAAUAUUGUUAAUUUCUUGCUAAUUGUUGUCUAAUAUUUCCUUCACUAAAUGUAGUACAGGUUGAAUUACUUGGCAGUAAUAAUGUCACAACCAGAAUUGGUAUGCCUAUGUUCUUGACAUCAUGCACCUCUUCUCACACGUUGUUUCCUUUCCAGUUUUCAAUUGCCAACACUGUGCUAUUGUCAUCGACUGAAGAUAAGAAGUGGGUAUAAUGCAGGUGACUAAGAAGCAUUACACCUUCCAAGGCAAUCAUCGAUGCCUAUUUGAUCUGUUCUAUUUUUAUUGGGAAAUUUUACGGUGCAUUAUAAUACACCAGAGUACGCGUAUUAUAUGGGCGAUCUAACGGAUAAAAAUAACUAGGCCUUUUUGAGCCCAAGGGUAUUUUCGACCUAAAAUUUUUUGUAUCUUUAAUCGGCCCAAUUAAGUCCAGGGGUAUUUCCGUCCUAAAUUUUUUGAUUAAAUUAAUUGCAUUAAUAAAAAACUUCAUUAUAGAGGUCCAAUCAUCGUGCGUACUCUUUUGAAUUUCGGUUCGAGCGGUUCGUCCUCUCUCCUCCUCUCGAGCCCUAACCUCGGCGCCCUCGAUCGUCGCCGAUCGCCUCUGGCACCUUCGAUCGCCGCCGAUCGCCCCCGGCUCCCUCGAUCGCCGCCGAUCGCACUCGCCGUGUCACUCCUUCCUCCUGCUCCUACUCCCCCCUCCCCCUCCAUCGCAAGUCACCCCACUCGGGUCGCAGCGCCAGAUCUUCCGACGAGCCACUAAUCCCCUCCUUCCCCGAGCGGACGCCACCUUCCCCGACCCGAGAGGCCACAUCAUCCUCAUCGACGUGCAUCAACUUUUUCACACCGGAUCUUCGCUGUAAGUGCCUACCAUCUCAAAUCUUUUUUGGUCCCUUAUGCAUAUAGUACCAAUAGGUGUCGUAUUUGAUUAGGGUUUAGGAUAUGUCAUGUGAGGUUUAGGGUUUAUGGUUUCAGAAAGGUGUGACCAGAUUUCGAUUGAAAGGGAGUGUAAGUUGGAUUUAGCUAGGACAUAUUGAUGUAGUUAGUUAGGGUUUAUGGUUUCAGAAAGUUGUGACAAGAUUUUGAUUCAAAGGAAGUGUAACUCGGAUUUAGCUAGGACAUAUUUAAGGACUUAGUUAGGGUUGUGUGGCAUGAGAAAGUUGUCAGCAGAUUUGAAUUCAAAGAAAGUUAUUUUGGAUUUAGUUAGGAGAUGCUUUUGAAUUGAGUUUCGAGAUAUUUUGGAUUUAGUUAGGAGAUAAUUAUUUUUGUAUGGAGUUUGGAGUUAUUUUGGAUUUAGUUAGGAGAUAAUUUGGAUUUAGUUAGGUGAUAAUUUUGGAUUUAGUUAGGAGACAAUUUUGAAUGGAGUUUGGAGAUAAUUGAUCUAUCAGGGUGGAUCUAUCAGGGGACUUGAAGGAUUCGUGCACUUUGGAUUUAGUUAGGAGAUCAUCACUUACAGCAAGUACAAUCAAUUAAAUAUUUCUGGAUUUAGUCAGGGCAUAUUUUAUACUUACUUACAGCUUUUGAAGGACUGAGUUUGGUACAUGAAUCCGAUAUGAAAAAUUAAAUCCAUUAUUUAAGCAGAGUAGUGCAUAAUUAUUAUGUAUGCUAUCCAUCCGUAACAUUGACUAUCUGUUUUCGUUGGCGGCAUAACGACAUGGAUGAUAAAGGCAACGAUGGCGAAAACUUGGGUGAUACAGGCAAGGAUGACAGGGACAUGGGUGAUAGACAAAACGAAGGCAAAGGAAUGGAUGGUAUGUGCACGGAUGAUAAUGAUAAUGACGAUGCAGGAAAGGAUGGCAUAGACAUGGAUGAUGUACACAUGCAAGGUAAAGGAAUUGAUAAUAAAGGCAUGGCUGGUUCAGAUCUGAAUGAGUAUAUGGAAUACUUAGAGAUUGUGAACAAGACUUUCAGGACUGAGGAAGAAGCCUACAUGUUCUACGUAGGCUAUGCAAAAAAAAGGGUUUGGUGUUAGAAAGGAUGAUCUAAAGUACAGGGGUCCGGGUCUAAAACAAAAUGCAUACAGAAGGACAUACAAGUGCUGCAAACAAGGAUGGCGGGCCCUUAAGCACUUUAACAGAGCUGAAAGAAAAAGAACACCGAGGGGGUCUGUCUCGGUGUGGUGUCCCGCUCUUUUUCAGGUUGAGCUACAAGAUAGCAGUGGCCUCUGGUUCGUCAAGAAUUUUGUGGACAAGCAUAACCAUCUGUUUGUCCCUGCUGACCUGACUCCCUACUUAUCGGCUCAUCGUAGAAUGACUGACGCACAAAAGGCCGAUGUCAUCGAGUAUGCCGUCGGUGGACUUCAAACACAUCAGAUUAUGAAUGUAAUGGAGAAGAAUGUCGGAGGUCCCGACAAGCUUGGAUUUAUAGAUCGAGACCUAUACAACCAUGUUUCAAUCCAGAAGAAGCGCAAGAUAGAAGGUAGUGACACUAGAUAUUUGCUCACCUAUAUGAUUGCACAGAAAAAAGCAGACCCGAAAUUCUUUUUCAAAUACACAAAAGACAGCGAAGGCCAUUUGAGGAACAUAUUUUGGGCUGAUUUCACAAUCCCGGAUUGACUAUGUUGCCUUUGGUGGUGUCGUGGUGUUCGACAGUACAUAUCGGUCUAACAAGUACAGGCUUUCGUUUGUUCCAUUUGUUGGUCUGAACCAUCACCGCAACACAGUUUUGUUUGGGGUCGGUCUAGUGUCAGAUGAGAUAGUUGCAUCAUACCAGUGGCUUCUUCAUGUAUUUUUGGAGGCAAUGUCCCAGACAACACCCAUUUCAGCAAUCACCGAUGGGGACGGUGCAAUGGCUAAAUCAAUAGCUAUUGUCUGGACUGGAACAGAUCAUCGUUUGUGCACAUGGCAUAUUGAGGAGAAUAUGGUGAUGCACCUCCGCAAGAAUAAGCUUGAGGAAUUUAGGGAAUUCAUUUACCGUCGUUGGGAUGUUGAGAGUUUGAGAAAAGAUGGGAGGCUUAUAAGGUUUGGUUCAAAAUAAAACCAACGGGGAAGAGGUCGUCAUGGGUUAACAGGAUGUACGAGCUGCGACACAAAUGGGCUGCUGCGUACACAAAGGGUAUAUAUUUCCUAGGAAUGAUGAGUAAUCGGAGGAGUGAGUCUCUCAACUCAAGGCUUCAUGUGCACCUGAACAGGAAGAUGCAGCUUGUUGAUUUGUUGCAGCAUGUUGAGCACUAUGUAUCCAUAAUGCGUAAGAAUGAAGCAGCAUUAGACGCAGUAGCGACACAUACGAUACCCUUCACUAAGCUGAAUGCACACCCUCUGGAGAUUGCUGCCUCUUAUAUUUAUACAACUGUGACGUUUCCAUGGGUAAAGUGUCAGAUUGUCGAAGGAACAAAUUGGCAGGUCACAGACUGGGUAGCGUGUGAUGGUUUGGUCGUGUUUGGAGUUUUGUGCAAAGUCCCAUAUGAUAAAGACCCAUAUGUGGUAGGGAUGCUACAGAAUUGCAAGGUAAGGAAGGUAAGGAUGCUGAGGACUUGCAUGCAAAAAACUUGGAUGCUGAGGAUCCCAAUGACUUGGAAGGUAAGGAUGCUGAGGACUUGCAUGCAAAAAACUUGGAUGCUGAGGAUCCCAAUGACUUGGAAGGCAAGGAUGGUGUGGACUUGCAUGCAAAAACCCUGGAUGCUAAGGAUCCCAAUGACUUGGAAGGCAAGGAUGGUGUGGACUUGCAUGCAAAAAACCUGGAUGCUAAGGAUCCCAAUGACUUGGAAGGUAAGGAUAGUGAGGAGUUGGAUGCACAAGGCGUGGAUGCUAAGCCUAUGGAUUUUAUAUAUCACGUGACUUGUCUGUUUACAGGAGCAAGACUGGAUGAUGCAGCUUGUAAAUGUAAAAAGUUGGAGAGUCAGGAUUACCCAUGCGCACAUAUAUUCUGCGUUCUGGAUCAUCUUGGUGUACACACAUUUCCAAAAAAAUUGUGAAGAAAACAUGGACAAUGCAUGCCAAGCCAGUGUUCCCUUCUUCGAGGACUGCAAAUACUCAUGUAUGGUCUGAUCACAUGAAUAAGUAUCAUCAACUACGCAACAUGGCUAGUGACGCUUUAUUCACAGCCGCAGCUAGCGAUUCACAGUCAGAACAGGUGAUGGACCUCCUCCGGAGUAUAUUGGUUGAUGGAGAAAAAACUGAUUUGGAUGAAGGCCAUAAAUCGCUUGUUCCUUUGCCGGCAUACUUCUCUGCUGCUCGCGAAUGCUGCACUGAUGACGUGGAAAAUCCAAUCAAAAUAGUUCCAAAAGGGAGACCAACUAUCGAAGAAUCCAACAAGAGGAUUAAAUCCAAGCACGAGCAGAUGAGAGGGAAACAAGCAACGAAGAACAAAUCGGGAAAAUCAAAUGUCACAAGAAGGAAGAAGCAAAAAGAGAAAGACUUAGAGACAGAAGAAGACACAGAGUCAGAUACAGAAGACGAGGAAGAUUCAAGAAAAGCAACGAAGAUAAAAUCGGGGAAAUGAAAGGUCACAAGGAGGAAGAAGCAAAAACAAGAGACAGAGUCAGAUACAGAAGAAGAGACAGAGGCGGAUACAGAAGAAGAGACAGAGGCAGAUCAGAAGAAGAGGAAGAUUCAGGUACAGAAGAAGAGGAAGAUUCAGAUGCAGAAGAAGAGGGAGAGUCAGAUGCAGAAGAAGAGGAAGAUUCAGAUGCAGAAGUAGAGGAAGAUUCAGAUGCAAAAGAAGAGGAAGAUUCAGAUGUAGAAGAUGGUGGGCUGAGGAGGGCUAGGAAGAGACCAUUGGAGGUUGCAGAAGAGGAUUAUGCAAAACCAAACAAGUGGACAUUACCACAAUUGUGCGUACUUAAACAUGUUUUCGAAUGCUGGCUGCAGAUUCAUCUAUUUCAUUUUUUGCAGGAAACGCAAGGGCGCUCCAAAUGUCAAAGCUGGGAGGAAGAAAAAGAACGAUGACAAGGGUGCGUGAGGAAAACCAGUGAAGAAAGACUCUAGGAAGGGCGGUAAAGAACAGGCCAAAGGGGUGAUGAAGACAAAAAGGCCUGCUAGGAAUGUACCAAAGGCUGAGCGAAUAAGAUCUGUCAAGUUAGCUUCUGCUGCUAUGAAGAGAAAAUCAGUGAAGGAAGCUAAAGUGAAGUCGAGACAGGAUGUUUAGAUGCACAGGGUCAGGCAGAGAAAACAAAAGGAUUUCUGGGGUCGAAAAAUUGAGAACAAACUGAAUUAGAUAGUUUUCCAUGCCGUGAUCCACCUUGUUUCUGAUGUAUUAUACCUAUUUGAUGGACUGCCACUAUUUUUUUGAAUUCCUGGUCUGAUUGGUACACCCUCAUUUUAUUAUGGACGGGUCGACAUGGUAGCCUAGUUAUGAUUUAUCAACAUCGAUCAAACAAUGCAUUUUAGUGAAGUUGGUUAUCUGUAUUUUUUUCAUUUUUAUAUAUAUACGAAAAUAGAACGUUGGAUUUCCUCACAAACCUACUAAAUCAAAAUAGAAACCUCGUUUUCAAAUAACCUUGAAAAACGUUUAUUUUGAAAUAGAAAAUAAGCAUACUGAUAUUUUAAAAAUAGCAUGCUCAUUUGAAAAAAGCACCCCAACUGUCUGUCUCAGGCGCGGGCAGUGCUGGUGGCGGUGAGGUUGCGUUGGCCUCCACCCCAACUGCCAAUUGGCCAAUGCCUGUGCAAUGCCAGGCCACCUGGCAAGCUCAUCACACUCGGAGUCCUCUAUGACCCUCCUUGUGGUCUCCUCGAUGGUCACAAUGUAGGCCCUCUCGGCCUCCUAAUCGUCCCCCUUCACCACGACAAGCAGCGAUGCUGGAGCGGUGAGCGCACGCGGUGCACGGGGUGCACCCUUGAAGCACGACCAACAACACUGGUCGUGCUCGGUGGCGAACUGAUACGUCUCCAACGUAUCUAUAAUUUUUUAUGUUCCAUGCGAUUAUAUUAUCAACUUUGGAUGUCGACAUGGCUAGCGGGCGCCCGAGCGCCCAUUGGUGGGAACUAGCGCUCAUCCAAAUAUGGAAAGAGCAGCUAACGAGUACGACCGCAGUUCACAAAUAUGGAAAGAGCAGCUAACGCACAACCACGCCCGUCCUCCUCUCUGUCUCUACAUGAUGGCAUUUUCACUU